Molecule: ribosomal RNA, 863 nt
Filed under: Escherichia coli
Lineage: Bacteria; Pseudomonadati; Pseudomonadota; Gammaproteobacteria; Enterobacterales; Enterobacteriaceae
Description: partial 23S ribosomal RNA
Rfam family: Bacterial large subunit ribosomal RNA
Source: RNAcentral
UGUUAGUGGAAGCGUCUGGAAAGGCGCGCGAUACAGGGUGACAGCCCCGUACACAAAAAUGCACAUGCUGUGAGCUCGAUGAGUAGGGCGGGACACGUGGUAUCCUGUCUGAAUAUGGGGGGACCAUCCUCCAAGGCUAAAUACUCCUGACUGACCGAUAGUGAACCAGUACCGUGAGGGAAAGGCGAAAAGAACCCCGGCGAGGGGAGUGAAAAAGAACCUGAAACCGUGUACGUACAAGCAGUGGGAGCACGCUUAGGCGUGUGACUGCGUACCUUUUGUAUAAUGGGUCAGCGACUUAUAUUCUGUAGCAAGGUUAACCGAAUAGGGGAGCCGAAGGGAAACCGAGUCUUAACUGGGCGUUAAGUUGCAGGGUAUAGACCCGAAACCCGGUGAUCUAGCCAUGGGCAGGUUGAAGGUUGGGUAACACUAACUGGAGGACCGAACCGACUAAUGUUGAAAAAUUAGCGGAUGACUUGUGGCUGGGGGUGAAAGGCCAAUCAAACCGGGAGAUAGCUGGUUCUCCCCGAAAGCUAUUUAGGUAGCGCCUCGUGAAUUCAUCUCCGGGGGUAGAGCACUGUUUCGGCAAGGGGGUCAUCCCGACUUACCAACCCGAUGCAAACUGCGAAUACCGGAGAAUGUUAUCACGGGAGACACACGGCGGGUGCUAACGUCCGUCGUGAAGAGGGAAACAACCCAGACCGCCAGCUAAGGUCCCAAAGUCAUGGUUAAGUGGGAAACGAUGUGGGAAGGCCCAGACAGCCAGGAUGUUGGCUUAGAAGCAGCCAUCAUUUAAAGAAAGCGUAAUAGCUCACUGGUCGAGUCGGCCUGCGCGGAAGAUGUAACGGGGCUAAACCAUGCAC